RNAcentral lists this ribosomal RNA (274 nucleotides) under uncultured bacterium. RNAcentral describes it as "partial 16S ribosomal RNA". It matches the Rfam family "Archaeal small subunit ribosomal RNA", at positions 473 to 747 of the family's 1478-position model. The record is from RNAcentral.
AAACCAGCACCUCAAGUAGUCAGGAGGAUUAUUGGGCCUAAAGCAUCCGUAGCCUGUUCUGUAAGUUUUCGGUUAAAUCCACUAGCUCAACUAGUGGGCUGCCGAAAAUACUGUAGAACUAGGGAGUGGGAGAGGUAGACGGUAUUCGGUAGGAAGGGGUAAAAUCCUUUGAUCUAUUGAGGACCACCUGUGGCGAAGGCGGUCUACCAGAACACGUUCGACGGUGAGGGAUGAAAGCUGGGGGAGCAAACCGGAUUAGAAACCCCGGUAGUCC